Molecule: ribosomal RNA, 253 nt
Filed under: uncultured bacterium
Lineage: Bacteria
Description: partial 16S ribosomal RNA
Rfam family: Bacterial small subunit ribosomal RNA
Source: RNAcentral
UACGAAGGGGGCUAGGGUUGCUCGGAAUCACUGGGCGUAAAGGGUGCGUAGGCGGGUCUUUAAGUCAGGGGUGAAAUCCUGGAGCUCAACUCCAGAACUGCCUUUGAUACUGAGGAUCUUGAGUACGGGAGAGGUGAGUGGAACUGCGAGUGUAGAGGUGAAAUUCGUAGAUAUUCGCAAGAACACCAGUGGCGAAGGCGGCUCACUGGCCCGUAACUGACGCUGAGGCACGAAAGCGUGGGGAGCAAACAGG